RNAcentral lists this ribosomal RNA (429 nucleotides) under Bacteroidota bacterium. RNAcentral describes it as "Bacteroidetes bacterium partial 16S ribosomal RNA". It matches the Rfam family "Bacterial small subunit ribosomal RNA", at positions 355 to 776 of the family's 1533-position model. The record is from RNAcentral. Lineage: Bacteria; Pseudomonadati; Bacteroidota.
UAGGGAAUCUUCCGCAAUGGACGCAAGUCUGACGGAGCAACGCCGCGUGAGUGAAGAAGGAUUUCGGUUCGUAAAACUCUGUUGUUAGAGAAGAACAGCGCAUAGAGUAACUGUUAUGCGUGUGACGGUAUCUAACCAGAAAGCCACGGCUAACUACGUGCCAGCAGCCGCGGUAAUACGUAGGUGGCAAGCGUUGUCCGGCUUUAUUGGGCGUAAAGCGAGCGCAGGCGGUCAAUUAAGUCUGAUGUGAAAGCCCCCGGCUCAACCGGGGAGGGUCAUUGGAAACUGGUUGACUUGAGUGCAGAAGAGGAGAGUGGAAUUCCAUGUGUAGCGGUGAAAUGCGUAGAUAUAUGGAGGAACACCAGUGGCGAAGGCGUCUCUCUGGUCUGUAACUGACGCUGAGGCUCGAAAGCGUGGGUAGCAAACAGG